Molecule: non-coding RNA, 72 nt
Filed under: Hemiselmis andersenii
Lineage: Eukaryota; Cryptophyceae; Cryptomonadales; Hemiselmidaceae
Source: RNAcentral
GGCCUUCAUCCGUCAGGCCUGGCAACAACACUGCUGUUGUUGAGAAGCCUCCAUCCAGUAUUGAGGCUUGGC